Molecule: ribosomal RNA, 194 nt
Filed under: uncultured bacterium
Lineage: Bacteria
Description: partial 16S ribosomal RNA
Rfam family: Bacterial small subunit ribosomal RNA
Source: RNAcentral
GCAACUCGCCUGCAUGAAGUCGGAAUUGCUAGUAAUCGCAGAUCAGCAUGCUGCGGUGAAUACGUUCCCGGGCCUUGUACACACCGCCCGUCACACCAUGGGAGUCGGUAACACCCAAAGUUGGUAGCCUAACCGCAAGGAGGGCGCCGCCUAAGGUGGGAUUGAUGACUGGGGUGAAGUCGUAACAAGGUAUC